This is a long non-coding RNA of Heterocephalus glaber (naked mole-rat), 1132 nucleotides long. The record is from Ensembl. NCBI's taxonomy places the organism in Eukaryota, Metazoa, Chordata, Mammalia, Rodentia, Bathyergidae.
CGGGGCUCUCAAUCCUGAUCCGCUGCGUCGGUGACUGUUGAGUGCCCCUGCUCGAGCUUGAAUAAAUGACCCUCGUGUGUUUACAUCGGAAUCAGCUCCUUGGUGGUCUUUGGGGACCUCGCGAUCUGGGCACAACAGAACUACUACAGGGCUGCUGCUGCAGAAAUGAAUAAUUGCCCUAAAGAUCAUCUGGCCUGCAAAACUGAGUAUGUUUACUAGCUGGCUCUUCACAGAAAAAGUGUGAGGACUCUGUCUGCCUUAGGACCACCACUCCAAGGAGGAUGGCAGUUAGGAUGGCCCUGCUUCGGUAAUUGUUUCGGGCCCUAUCAUGGGAACUCAGGGCAGAGCGAUGAACACGGACAGGGAGGAGUGCCUGUUCUCAGGGGCUGGCCAUCCUACUGGCGGGAGCAGGAGGAAACACCUAAGAGCACUGGAUAGCAUGUUCCUGACAAUUCAGAGUAGAGACCAGUAAAUCCAGCUAUUACCUGGCAGGCAUAGAGGGUUCCAGAACAUUCUACAUGCUCUCAGUCGGAAGGUGCUCAGUGAUGGUGUGGGGACACAUGUGGCGCCAUUACUGUAGAGGCCAGUGGGGAGCCAGAUGAAGAGAACCCGUGUCAAUCUCUGUCAUCAUAUUGGAUAGAGGGGCAUAGGUGGGCAUUACAACCCUGGAACCCUGAGCAUUUACCCAAUGGGAUCAUGUUAACCAAGAAGCGACACUUUUGAUGGACAGAGACUGCACGUCCACAAAUUAGGAGAGUUUAAGCUACUGCUCACCACCACCAUCCAUUGGAAUGGGGCCUUUAGGCGGAGAUGAGGACACUUAUGGGACUUCUUGACCAUCACUGACACUCUGGAAGUCUGAACUUGGAAACAGCCCAAUUGCCCAUCAGUUGGAGACUUGGAGACUGGAUGAAGAAAAUGUGUUUUUUUAUAAAAUGAAGUACCACUCAGCCAUAAAGAAUGAGAAGCUAGAGACAUUUAUAGCUAAAUGGAUGCACAUUGAGGCCAUACUCUUAAGUGAAAUAAAUAGGACAUAUGUGUAAAUAUCGAAUCGUUUCUCUGGUGUGAGAAACAAAGUGUAAAUAAGGAUCAAAAUGUACAAUAGAUAAUGUGAAAUACAAAGAAAAGGUGC